RNAcentral lists this long non-coding RNA (380 nucleotides) under Capsella rubella. Its description in RNAcentral is "long non-coding RNA (CRUB_LNC000544)". The record is from RNAcentral. Lineage: Eukaryota; Viridiplantae; Streptophyta; Magnoliopsida; Brassicales; Brassicaceae.
UCCGAAUGAAUAAUAGUUGUUUUUCUCCUUUUUUGGGGAUCUUUGCUUCCACUGAUUAUGUUGAGUACACCAAACAAAUUCUCUUGAAAAUUCUUCAUAUUUGUACUUCCUUGGAUCACCAUCUAUCGAAUUGCUUUCCAUCCAACUUUGCAAUUUAGAUCUUGAAUUUGUAGAUAGCAAUGUAACGUCUUCUCUAACAUCGUCUACAACAAAACAACCAAUAUAACAACUAAAUAAAUUUUUUUAAUGAAUAAUCAAUCUAAAAUUUAAACAAAUUAAAAUACCUAAACGAAAAGGUGAUGUAACCAUAGAAAAAGGUGCGGUAUUCUUUGACAUUACCUUCCAAACAACCACUACACGAACAGGAAAACGGAAAUUAG